RNAcentral lists this ribosomal RNA (253 nucleotides) under uncultured bacterium. RNAcentral describes it as "partial 16S ribosomal RNA". It matches the Rfam family "Bacterial small subunit ribosomal RNA", at positions 524 to 776 of the family's 1533-position model. The record is from RNAcentral.
UACGUAGGGUGCAAGCGUUAGGCGGAAUCACUGGGCUUAAAGCGUGUGUAGGCGGGUGCCUAAGUAACUUGUGAAAUCCCACGGCUCAACCGUGGAACUGCUCGGUAUACUGGGUGCCUUGAGCCAACUAGGGGCGACCGGAACAAACGGUGGAGCGGUGAAAUGCGUAGAUAUCGUUUGGAACGCCGAUGGUGAAAACAGGUCGCUGGGGUUGUGCUGACGCUGAGACACGAAAGCCAGGGGAGCGAACGGG